UACAGAGGUCUCAAGCGUUGUUCGGAUUCAUUGGGCGUAAAGGGUGCGUAGGUGGCGCCGUAAGUCAGGUGUGAAAUUUCGGAGCUUAACUCCGAAACUGCAUUUGAUACUGCGGUGCUUGAGGACUGGAGAGGAGACUGGAAUUUACGGUGUAGCAGUGAAAUUCGUAGAUAUUCGCAAGAACACCAGUGGCGAAGGCGGCUCACUGGCCCGAUACUGACGCUGAGGCACGAAAGCGUGGGGAGCAAACAGG
This 253-nucleotide ribosomal RNA is filed under the name uncultured bacterium. RNAcentral's name for it is "partial 16S ribosomal RNA". It matches the Rfam family "Bacterial small subunit ribosomal RNA", at positions 524 to 776 of the family's 1533-position model. The record is from RNAcentral.